UUUCCUACGGGACGCAGCAGUGGGGAAUUUUGCGCAAUGGGGGAAACCCUGACGCAGCAACGCCGCGUGCGGGACGAAGGCCCUCGGGUUGUAAACCACUUUCAGCGGGGAAGAUCCAAGACGGUACCUGAAUAAGAAGCACCGGCUAAAUACGUGCCAGCAGCCGCGGUAAUACGUAUGGUGCAAGCGUUAUCCGGAUUUACUGGGCGUAAAGGGAGCGCAGGCGGCGCGCCAAGUCUGAUGUGAAACCCCGGGGCUCAACCCCGGGCAUGCAUUGGAAACUGGCGGGCUGGAGUGCCGGAGAG
This 305-nucleotide ribosomal RNA is filed under the name uncultured bacterium. Its description in RNAcentral is "bacterial SSU rRNA". It matches the Rfam family "Bacterial small subunit ribosomal RNA", at positions 335 to 656 of the family's 1533-position model. The record is from RNAcentral.